GAUGAACGCUGGCGGCGUGCCUAAUACAUGCAAGUCGAGCGAACAGACGAGGAGCUUGCUCCUCUGACGUUAGCGGCGGACGGGUGAGUAACACGUGGAUAACCUACCUAUAAGACUGGGAUAACUUCGGGAAACCGGAGCUAAUACCGGAUAAUAUAUUGAACCGCAUGGUUCAAUAGUGAAAGACGGUUUUGCUGUCACUUAUAGAUGGAUCCGCGCCGCAUUAGCUAGUUGGUGAGGUAACGGCUUACCAAGGCAACGAUGCGUAGCCGACCUGAGAGGGUGAUCGGCCACACUGGAACUGAGACACGGUCCAGACUCCUACGGGAGGCAGCAGUAGGGAAUCUUCCGCAAUGGGCGAAAGCUUGACGGAGCAACGCCGCGUGAGUGAUGAAGGUAUUCGGAUCGUAAAACUCUGUUAUUAGGGAAGAACAAAUGUGUAAGUAACUAUGCACGUCUUGACGGUACCUAAUCAGAAAGCCACGGCUAACUACGUG
RNAcentral lists this ribosomal RNA (497 nucleotides) under uncultured bacterium. RNAcentral's name for it is "partial 16S ribosomal RNA". It matches the Rfam family "Bacterial small subunit ribosomal RNA", at positions 28 to 507 of the family's 1533-position model. The record is from RNAcentral.